GGCCUACCAUGGUGGUAACGGGUAACGGGGAAUUAGGGUUCGAUUCCGGAGAGGGAGCCUGAGAAACGGCUACCACAUCCAAGGAAGGCAGCAGGCGCGCAAAUUACCCAAUCCCGACACGGGGAGGUAGUGACAAUAAAUAACAAUACGGGGCUCUUUCGGGUCUCGUAAUUGGAAUGAGUACAAUUUAAAUCCCUUAACGAGGAACAAUUGGAGGGCAAGUCUGGUGCCAGCAGCCGCGGUAAUUCCAGCUCCAAUAGCGUAUAUUAAAGUUGUUGCAGUUAAAAAGCUCGUAGUUGAAUUUCGGGAUUGACACAUCGGUCGUGCCUUAAGGGGUAUGAACUGGUGUAGUCAAUUUCUCACCUUCUGGAGAACCGCGAUGCCCUUAAUUGGGUGUCGCGGGGAACCAGGACCUUUACUUUGAAAAAAUUAGAGUGUUUAAAGCAGGCAUUUUGCUUGAAUACAUUAGCAUGGAAUAAUAAAAUAGGACGGCAUGAUUCUAUUUUGUUGGUUUCUAGGAUCACCGUAAUGAUUAAUAGGGAUAGUUGGGGGCAUUAGUAUUCAAUUGUCAGAGGUGAAAUUCUUGGAUUUAUUGAAGACUAACUACUGCGAAAGCAUUUGCCAAGGAUGUUUUCAUUAAUCAAGAACGAAAGUUAGGGGAUCGAAGACGAUCAGAUACCGUCGUAGUCUUAACCAUAAACUAUGCCGACUAGGAAUCAGACGAUGUUAAUUUUUUAAUGACUCGUUUGGCACCUUACGGGAAACCAAAGUGUUUGGGUUC
This 781-nucleotide ribosomal RNA is filed under the name uncultured Glomus. Its description in RNAcentral is "SSU rRNA". It matches the Rfam family "Eukaryotic small subunit ribosomal RNA", at positions 338 to 1114 of the family's 1831-position model. The record is from RNAcentral. Lineage: Eukaryota; Fungi; Glomeromycota; Glomeromycetes; Glomerales; Glomeraceae.